AAUUUAAAUAAAUGUAUAGAUGCAUGUUAUUGUUGCUUCAUGUUUACUGUAUAUAUUGUUGACCACGAUGAGAUUUAACAUGAAUGGUUAAUCUAUGCAUUUGAGCAUAUAUUUUUCCAUUCAGUCCAAAAUUUUAAAGUCCACUCAUUGCGGGUUUUCCAAGGCUUGUACAGAUCGGAAAUCUCGGGUGUCAGCGCAUUGUAUCUCAACACACUCAUAGUCUUAUUGAUUGCGUUGUACAAUAAAGCACUUAUUAUUUUCAGGUAGCAAAGGUCCAGAGCCUGACCUUUUACUGGUUUAUGGACCUGUGAGGAGCCAUCUUGGUUUUCCUGCAUGGAGACUUCCUUACACAGAGAUCAUACAUAUGGGAUCAUUGAACUUCAUGAGAUAUGGUUCCUUAAGAAAAGCUAUUUACAACUACACGAAAGUGCAUCAAAAUUAUGGUUCGUAAAGAAGGAAUUUGGAAGUAGUUGACAGAGCAGCACAAAUCACACGCACGAAGAAUAGAAAAACACUUGGCUAUAUCUUUCUGGAUAAAGGGCUUUCUCGCUAGUAAUGUGUAAAUGUGUCAGAAUGAGAUAGAAUUGCAUGUCAUGACUUAAUUUUACUAACUGUUUAUAUAUAUAUAUAUAUAUAUAUAUUAUAUAACAAGCUUCAA
Molecule: non-coding RNA, 658 nt
Organism: Cajanus cajan (pigeon pea)
Lineage: Eukaryota; Viridiplantae; Streptophyta; Magnoliopsida; Fabales; Fabaceae
Source: RefSeq, a predicted model, not a curated record